This 474-nucleotide ribosomal RNA is filed under the name uncultured bacterium. RNAcentral's name for it is "bacterial SSU rRNA". It matches the Rfam family "Bacterial small subunit ribosomal RNA", at positions 329 to 793 of the family's 1533-position model. The record is from RNAcentral.
CUACGCACUCCUACGGGAGGCAGUCAGUGGGGAAUAUUGCACAAUGGGCGCAAGCCUGAUGCAGCCAUGCCGCGUGUAUGAAGAAGGCCUUCGGGUUGUAAAGUACUUUCAGUCAGUGAGGAAGGUGGGUAUGUUAAUAGCAUAUUCAUUUGACGUUAGCUGCAGAAGAAGCACCGGCUAACUCCGUGCCAGCAGCCGCGGUAAUACGGAGGGUGCGAGCGUUAAUCGGAAUUACUGGGCGUAAAGCGCAUGCAGGUGGUUUGUUAAGUCAGAUGUGAAAGCCCGGGGCUCAACCUCGGAAUUGCAUUUGAAACUGGCAAACUAGAGUACUGUAGAGGGGGGUAGAAUUUCAGGUGUAGCGGUGAAAUGCGUAGAGAUCUGAAGGAAUACCGGUGGCGAAGGCGGCCCCCUGGACAGAUACUGACACUCAGAUGCGAAAGCGUGGGGAGCAAACAGGAUUAGAUACCCUGGUAG